GAGUUUGAUUCUGGCUCAGGAUGAACGCUGGCGGCGUGCCUAACACAUGCAAGUCGAACGGAGAGCAUAAACGGAAGUUUUCGGAUGGAAGUUUAUGUUCUUAGUGGCGGACGGGUGAGUAACGCGUGGGCAACCUGCCUCAUACAGGGGGAUAACAGACGGAAACGUCUGCUAAGACCGCAUAAGUCGUCUUUGUCGCAUGACAGAGACGGGAAAAGAGCAAUCUGGUAUGAGAUGGGCCCGCGUCCGAUUAGCUAGUUGGUAAGGUAAAAGCUUACCAAGGCGACGAUCGGUAGCCGGACUGAGAGGUCGGACGGCCACAUUGGGACUGAGACACGGCCCAAACUCCUAUCGGGAGGCAGCACGUGGGGGAUAUUGCAUCAAUGGAGGAAAGCUCUGAUGCAGCGACCG
RNAcentral lists this ribosomal RNA (411 nucleotides) under Catonella sp. canine oral taxon 257. Its description in RNAcentral is "bacterial SSU rRNA". It matches the Rfam family "Bacterial small subunit ribosomal RNA", at positions 9 to 396 of the family's 1533-position model. Lineage: Bacteria; Bacillati; Bacillota; Clostridia; Lachnospirales; Lachnospiraceae. The record is from RNAcentral.